This 5252-nucleotide long non-coding RNA is filed under the name Equus caballus (horse). RNAcentral describes it as "lncRNA (ENSECAG00000053065.1)". Lineage: Eukaryota; Metazoa; Chordata; Mammalia; Perissodactyla; Equidae. The record is from RNAcentral.
AAUUUUUGUUAAUUUUUUUAUUCUAUUUAUUACAUUAAGGUUAGAGAAUACAGCCUGUAUGACUUCUCACUUUUCCGUAAUUCUAAUCCACCUGACUCAGGUCUGUUCUCUGGUCCCUCUUAAAUUUUUGUUCCUCUUUCAUGGGAUGCUCCAAUAAAUAAUUGACAGCAGUUACUUAGUGGUCUCUAUGGAGGGAGGGGAGUGUGCAGUCCUCCCCGGAGCCUUUUUCGUCUUCUGAGGGCUUCUUAAACUAUUCAGAUGGCUCACGUUUCUGCCCCCCAUCCCAUCACCAUCACUGUGUGCUGAGACAGAAAAGGAAAAUCUGCUCCAAGUUAGACAUUCUCGGUAGGACGGGUGUGGCGUGCCCUCACUGUCUGGGGUUCAUCUCUGGAGCUGUUUGAGUCUCUCCACGUCCCUCCUUGGUAAACCUACAAAGUCAACACGGUGCUCGCAGCCUGCAGGGAGCUGUACGUCUCUCUCUUUUGCCCUAGAGGCUGUACUUCUCUUAUGUUUCAAAGGAAGCUUUGUCUUUAUUAUAGCCCAGACCAUCAAGUAAAGCCCCCUGCCAGCGUUUCUCACACUGUGUUCCAUGGAAAACCAGUCUCGUAGAUAUUAAUAGGCGAUGUAUAGAAAGGGGUCUGUUUGGGGACUGCUGAAUUAAACAAAGAGAACUGACCACCAUGGGCAUCUCAGAGCCUUUGUAUUCUGUGUUAAUUGACUUUGUAAGAGGAGAAGGAAGCAUGGUUGUGUUUCCCAAACUAAUCUGGAAUGCACCCCUUCUGUGGGACACGAAGUCAGUGUUCCAGAACAGACACUGUAUGCCAUGCUGCCCAACGCCCUAUUUUCAAAUGUACUCCUAUGAAGCCUUUUGUUUGUCUUGAUCAAAUUUUAUUUAGCCCAGUGAUUAGAGUCAGUUCUUAACGCUACCCUUUCAGUGGGUUUGUAUCUUGAUUUUACAAUCUAGUGUUUCUGCCACCCCUCUGGGAUUCUUACUGCCGACAGAGCAGAUCAGCCUGACACCUGUAUUCUCACGUAAUGCACAGAUAAGCGCUCAGAAAGGACAGGGCCUUGCAGUGUGCCCCUGGCAUAGGGAGGACUCACAUUUCAUUCCAUGGAAGGACUUCGAUUGGUGGAGGCUGCCUAAACCAGCACCUGUGAGACUUCCUUGUGCAGGCAUGAAUUCAAUUUUUCCAGCCCUCAGGAUUUUAGAAACAACCUUUGGAAGGCAUCACAUAAGGUCUAUUAAUUAUUUGGUUAAUUGUGUCCUUUUAUUUGUUUUGUUGUGUGGUUAUAUAAAAAGAUAUAUCUUACCUCUCAGUCUAGUUUUGGUCACCAGCCUUCAAGAGGGUCCUCAUGAUCAUCACCUUGUAGUGUUCAUGCCCUUGUGUAGUCCCCUCCCACCUUGAACCUAGGCUACACUGUGUGAUCAGAAGUGAUAGUGUGUGUCUUCCAAGGCCAGGUCACAACAGACAUGACAGCUUCUGCAGUAGCCUCUUGAAUUGCUUGCUCUGGGGGAAACCAGCCUCUAUGCCAUGAGGCCACUCAAGCAGCCUCAUGGAGGAGUCCAUACAGUGAGGAACCAACUUGCCACGCAUGAGAAUGAGCCUCAGCCAAGCCUCCAGACCACAGCAGCCCUGGCUGACAACUGACUGUGACCUCAAAAGAGACCCUGAGCCAGAAACACUCAGCCAAGCCACUCUCAAAUUCCUGAAUUGCAGAAACUGGGAGACGAUAAAUGCUUAUCACUUAAACCACUAAAUUUAGAGUAAUUUGUUACACAGCCAUAGUAACGAAUGCACAAGUCCUUGAGCUCAUAGCAUUAAUCAACAUUUUGGUUUUUUUUUAAGAUUGGCCCUGAGAUAACAUCUGUUGCCAAUCUUUUUUUUUUCUUAUCCUUCUUCCCCCUCAAAACUCCCCAGUACAUAGUUGUAUAUUCUAGUUGUACGUCCUUCUAGUUGUGCUAUGUGGUACGCUGUCUCAGCAUGGCUUGAUGAGCAGUGCUAGGUCCAUGCCCAGGAUCCGAACUGGCAAAACCCUGGGACGCCGAAGCUGAGAGCACAGACUUAACCACUUGGCCAUGGGGCCGGCCCCUGAAGAUAUUUUCUUAAAUCAGGAAAAUCCCAGGACUUCCUACCACUUGCAGGGGGAAACCAGGCUCUUUGUGCCCCUGAAACCCAUUCAGCUUAAUUCAUCAGAAGUUUAGUGAGCACCUGCUGUGUGUCGGUCCCACAUGAGGUUCUCAGGGUUCAAGGACAGAACAUACCGCUUUCCUCCAAGAGCCCGCAUUUUAGCAGGAGAGGCAGUCUCACACGCAGUAGUAACAAGGCAGUGAAACAGAAGUUCCUGGUACGCUGCGGUAGUGGGGUGGGGGAACAGACAGGAUGGGGGCACCACAGAGCUGGUGGGGCCUUGAGAAAAAAGCAAAACUUUUUCCAGGUGAAGUGAGAAUGCAGGACUAGGAAAAAAGCAUUCAUUCUAGGUAGAGAGGGCAGGUAACAUGAAUUAACAGCCAGUCGGAUGAGUCUGGGGACUGGAAAGGUGGGGUGGGGCCAGUGGGAAGGGCCUUGAAGGCCAUGCUAAGGAAUGUGGCCUGUCUUCUGCAGGCAGAGAGGGGUAAGUGAUGGAGGGUGGUAUUAGGAGCAAGCUUUGUGGGUUUUAAAAGGUUUUAAGUCAGACCAAAGUUAAUCCUGAUAAUUUUUAAAAAGGCACUCUGAAGAAAAUGUAGAGAAACUGAGGCAGAGAGCCUUGUGGUGAGCUAUUGUUUAGGCAAGAGCUGAUGAUGUCCUGAGUUAGGAUGGUGGUUGUAGGAGUGGAGAUGAAGGGACAGAUUCAAGGGCCAUUUCAAAGAUGGAGGAGUCAAAAUAUGGUGUCGGUUACUUCCAUCUUCCAUCCUUAGAUUCUAGGGUUAGAGAUGGAAUAACCCUAAAGAAGGUCUAAGAUAAUACUGUCAUAAAUCAGGUUCCCUAGAAGCAGAGCCUGAGGCAGGGAUUCAGAUGCACAUGACUUAUUGGAGGAGAGCUUCCAGAAGAAGACGAGGGAGGGAAGCAGAAUGAUGUGGAGGAAGAAGCUGAGAAGGAUGUGGUUUCACAUGGAAUGCGGCCUUAGUGUCAUCCCAAAGAGAGCUCUGUAGCAUGAAUAGCACUACAGUGUUGGUUUCACCUUGAGGCAAGAGGGUCCGCCUUUUAUACAACAGGGUCAGGUUACCUCCCACGUAAGGAGACUCUGGUUGGCCAAGAACAAUUCUCUGGAGAAGGAGGCAGUUAUAAGUCAUCAGCAACCAAUACUCACAGCAGCUGGGGGAGGGAUCCACCCGGCAGGUGUUAUGGGCUGAAUUGUGUCACCCCCCCAGAUUAAAAUGUUGAAAUCCUAACCCCUAGUACCUAAGAAUGUGACAGUAUUUGGAGAUAGGGCCUUUAAAGAGGUGAUUAAACUAAAACGAGGCCGUUAGAGUGGCCCUAAUGCAAUCUGACUGGUGUCCUUAUAAGAAGAAGAGUUUAGGACGCAGAGACAGAUACUAGGAGUACGCACACAGAGAGAAAAGGCCAUGGAACAGCAUAGAGAGAAGGCAGCCAUCUACAAUCCAGGCUGAGAGAAGAAACUCAUCCUGCUGACACUUUGAUCUCGGACCUCCAGCCCUCAGAACUGUGAGAAAUACAUUUCUGUUGUUUAAGCCCCCAGUCUCUGGUGUUUUGUUAUGGCGGCCCCAGCAAUCUAAUGUAAUAGGUAAACAGUCUCUGGAUGACACCAGCAGCGUCUACUGCAUCUUCAUUUAUGCUCUUCGUCAACACCAUUUCUCUUUUCCUUCCCCACCUCCCUCCCCAAAACAGUUCACUUAAAUCUGUCUUCUUCCUUCUCUUCAUUAGAAGCAACAGCACCAAUUAUAGAAACCAGCUAAUUUCCUAGAUGGAAUAUCAGUGGCCUGCGCCAGACAGGUGCCAACCAGUUUUGACAUUUCAAUGGAAACAGUACAACCAGGCUAGACAUUUAUGGUCUUUCAGUUAAAAUGAGCAAUAAACCUCCAGGCUACGAAGAGCUAAAGAACUGUUCCGGAGACCUCCAUUGAAGAGCAGAUCAGAAACGUAAGGAGACAGAGCUGGCUAAACUUUCUGAGAUGAGAUUUUAAUUUGUGUGACCAUCACUGAGGUUAAUAUUUAUUGAUGGCUAAUUUUCCUUCCAAUGCUGGAUUUUUCUUGUUCAACAAUAACUCUAUCAAUCUAGUUUCCAUGUAACAAGGGCAAUUCUUCAGCCUCCCAGUUUGCUGAAACAAUGAGUUUGCAAGCAGUGGGCGCCAAGUCUGGUAAAUUUAUCCUUUAGGGCUUGGUAGGGUUGAGUAAGAACUUUGGCUUGUUCUCUAGGCAAGAUCCAGAGCCAUUGGAAGGUGUACUGUAUUAGUUUACCAUGGGGCCAAAAGAAGUGCCACAGACUGGUUGACUUAAACAACAGAAAUUUCUUUCCCCACAGUUCUGUGGGCUGGAAGUCUAUCAAGGUGUCGGCAGGUCUGGUUUCCUCUGAGGCCUCUCUCCUCGGUCGCCUUCUCCCUGUGUCUUCACAUGGUCCUCCCUCUGUGUGUCUGUGUCCAAACUUCCUCCUCUUAGGAGCACACCAGUCAUAUUGGGUCAGGGCCCACCCUAAUGACCUCAUUUUAACUGAAUUGCCUCUUUAAGGCCUCUAUCCCCAAAUACAGUCACAUUCUGAGGCUCUGAGGGUUAGGACUUCAACAUAGGAAUUUUGAGGGGACACAAUUCAGCCCAUAACAGAGGGUUCUGAACAGGAGAGAGGCAGGACCUAAUUUUUUGAGGGAUCAGUCUGGCUGUCACGUGGAGAAUGACUGUGGGAAAGCAAGGGCGGUAAGGGCGCCUGCCAGGAGCCUACUCCAGACUCCAGAGGAGAGACGAUGAUGUUGUGACUAGGGUGCCAGCAGUGGCGAUGGUGAGAAGGGAUCAGAUUCGGAACGCAGUUUGGAGGUAAAGCUGAGAGGAUUUGCUGAUGGGUUGGACAUAGGGUGUGAGAAAAAGAGAAAACCCUGAGAGUCCCCCAGAAGGCUGGCGGAGGGUGAGUUCUCUCUGUGCAGUUCACAGACCUCAUGAUCUGCUACCUCAGCGUUUUUCAAACUUAUCAGAUCGCAAGAAUUACUGAGAUGAUUAUUAAAAACACAGAUUCCUGGGGCUGGCACCAUCGCCUGGUGGUUAAGUUCAGCGUGCGCCACUUUGGCAGCUUGGGUUUGGUUCCCGGGUGCAGACCUACACCACUCU